Peromyscus maniculatus bairdii (prairie deer mouse) is the source of this 3782-nucleotide non-coding RNA. The record is from RefSeq and is a predicted model, not a curated record. Lineage: Eukaryota; Metazoa; Chordata; Mammalia; Rodentia; Cricetidae.
AGCGGGCGAGGCGGGCCGGGGAGCUGGCAGGGGCUCGGACACAGGCGGAGAGCUCCAGGAGCCCCCCGCGAGGCAGGUGCAGAGGAAAAGAGCAGAAGGCGGGAGUCUUCCCAAGGAAGGAGGGACCGAGAGACACCCAGGGGAGGAGGAGACGGGGAGGUGAAGAAACAGCCUCAGCUACUUGAGGCAUGCCCAGGAUGUUUAACGAAGCCGGAAAGUGCAACACACACCAGGCUGGCUUUUCCUAGGUCUCAAGGAAGUUAGGAGAGGAGGAGGAGGAGGAGGCCGGGAGCACGCUGAGAAGUUGGGGAGGUGAUGGCAAGUACUGAGACCGGAAGAAAACCAGCUAGGGGGCCCGUGAGCUUGAAAUUGAGGUUUAAUGGAACAAAGGGAGCGAUCGGGCUGGGAAGGGUGGGAGCCGCGGGGGAAAGAGCCAGAUGGGACGGGGCUUCCAAGUGGUGGUGCUUGGAGUUCGGACCCCUGCGUUCCCAGCCGCGCCUUUGUUUGCAGGGUCUUACACGUCUGAAUAAGAGCUUGAAGUUUAAGGCAUAAGGGUGCGAGAGAGGACUAUAUUUAGAUGUCUGACGUGGAGGCAGCGAGCUACGGGGGAGCAGCUCAGGUGUGGGGCCAGCCUCGGUCUUCAGGUGGGACCCCAAGGACAGAAGAAGGGACGCCAAGUGAUAAAAUGGCUUCAGGGUGGUCUCUUACACUGGAUACCUUUUCCCGGACCUCAGUUUCUCUUUCUGUCCCUCUCCACCUCCCCCAAACCCUUUUCCCCUAUCCUCCUUUUCUUCUUCAAGACAGAGUCUCGAAUGCAUCCCAAGCUGGCCUCACACUCAAGUUAUCUUCCUGCCUCAGCCUUCAGAGAGCUCUUGGACCCGUGUCUCUGGAGAUCCCUUAGCAAACUGAAAAUGUUUGCCAUCUCACGAAAUGUUCACUGAUCAAAAUGUAUAAACCUCAGUAGGAAGGCAUGUCUCGAAAAAAAAUUAGACAAAUAUAAAGUGUAUAGACUUUCCUCUCUAGAAUUAAAACCUGUAAAAUAUUGUGAACUUGGGCAUGGUGGCUCAUACCUUUACCUUAGUACUUGGGAGGCGGAGGCAGACAGAUAUCUGCGAGUCUGAGGUCAGCCUGGUCUACCUAGAGAGUUCUAGGAUUGCCAAGGUGACACAGUGAGACCCUGUCUGAAAACAAAAACAGAAACAAACCAACAACACCCUGCCAACACCUUGAGAGCAGAACCGGUGUCUCCUUUUUCUGUUUCUUUAGAGAACACAGCUUUCACACUCUUAUCCAGUGCAAAGACAAGUGAGAUGCUAAGACCCAGCCAGCCCUUUCCUCCAAGCAGCAGACAUGAGGUGCAGAGAACCCGAGGCACCUCAACCAUCACAGAUCAAGAGGAGAAGUCCUCUCCCCUCAGAUGUGCCCUGUCCUGCAGGCUUCGCUUAACCAAUGUCAGUCACCCAGGCUACAUACCCGGGUGUAGCUGUCCAAUUUAUCAUCCGAGGAGGAACUGUCUGUCUCCUUAGAACAACUCAGCUGGAGCUCGGGAGCUCAGUGUGGUGUGUGCACACUGAGCCUGUCAAGGCCUGAUCCCUAGCACACAACUUCCGCUCUCCAAAUCUCUUGGCCAAAGUUAACUCUUUUAUUAGGUCUCAGUAUAGAUGCGAUCUUGAGAUAAAAUCGUUCAGGAGUCCUUUCCUUACUCUAUCUUCUCUGCUAGAACUAGGCUGCCCGUAUCUAAGCAACCUCCCUUUCUGGGUAUGUGAACUUGAAUAAGCGUGUGUGCGCGUGUGAGCACGCGUGCAUGCCUGCGUACGUGCACACGCGCCCUCAAGUGUGAGCUCAAGUGUACACGAGAGUGAAGGCAGCACAGUAUAUUUCUGGGGUAAGCUCUCUCUCUCCACAUGUGGGUCCCUGGGAUCUAAGUCAGGUCUUCAGGCUUGGUGGCAAGUGCCUCUCCCCGCUGAGCCGACUUGCCAGCCCAAGUUACUGAACCCCUUUACACCUUAGGGUUCUUCUUUGUCAGGGGGAGUACAGUACUUCAGCUAUUUUCCUGAAACGUUGUGAGGAUGAAAGGUCUGACGCACAAUUCUAACAGUGUUAUCAUCACCUCUGGACUCUGUAACCCUCACACCGGCAGACCAGGACCUUUUCACUAACAUACUCCUUAGCUGCUCUGACCAAAAGGUGCAUGAACCUUACUAAGGGACCCUGGUGAGAGCUGGGUGUGGGCUGAAGAAAACCGUAUAUUUGUGUCCACAGCGGGUUGUUGUGGGCCCAGUAACCAAGGAGGCAGGAACAAUCUGCCAGGCAGAUUAUCGCGCCUCGCUGGGACUCCAGGUAAUCCAUUAAGUGGACAACCCUGCCCUCUGGUGGACUCAUAAGAAAUGUCAGUCCGGUGGUAUUGCUCUUUUGCCCUUUAGACUUCGAGUCCGGAAGUGCCUUUCCUCAACCUGGAACCCAGGAGAACCCAGGAGUGGGAGGCAAACGCUAGACCGGUGAACGACACCGUCAACCCAAGUUCUGAAACAUAGAUUUACAUUGUGUGGGAAGUGAAGUAAGCCUGGAGUGAAUGUGUACGGAGCAGUCUUUAUAAAGACCCCAGUGCCACAGACCCACAGGAAUUGGCAAAGCGUCUCCCAGGUCUCCCCACGUCAGGCUCGGGGAAUCAGCAAAGCCUUCCUUUGGUUCCUGUGUGAAUGCGGAAAGAGUUCAUGGAAAGCAUCGAACAGCAGCUUCCUCCCACCUGCUGUGUACAGCCUGACCACUCCCUCCCCUCCUCCUGUCACUGUACACAGUCAACUGAGUUUCUGCAUUGCAUGCUGGAGCUUCUCCGUCAGAAGACUCAGGAAGCAACUCCGAAGGCGACGUGGUGAAAGGAUAGAGCUCAGGCUGGGAGUGAGAAGGUCAUUUCCUUUAGCUUUUCACAACGGCUCCUUCUGGGAGUCAGCAGUGGCUCAAGGGAGGGAGGUAUUUCCAGCUCCUGCCUUCACCGGGCUUUGACAUCCUCCUUUCUCUCUCUCUCUCUGUCUCUGCUUCUCUGUCUCUGUCUCUCUCAUUUUGUUCUGUUUGUUUUGUUUUUCGAGACAGGGUUUCUCUGUGUAACAGCCCUGGAACUCUCUCUGUAGCCCAGGCUGGCCUCGAACUCCCCCGCAGGGCCUGCCUCCGCCUCCGCGGUGCUGGGAUUAACGGUGUGAUUAAAGCGCAGCGGUUUUGCCGAGAAGAGGGAUAAGACGGGCGAGUCUAUUGGAGAAAAGCCUCGCUGGCCUUCGCGUCCUUUCUUCAGGAGCUAGGGAGCGCAGACUUGGUUAAUCUUUUCCCAGAAGGAGGGCCCAGGCCCUGACGUGUUACAAUUGCCGCCGCGGCUCCGGACAAGGGCUUCCUGGGGCUCCCUCAGCCCAGGAGCCCCAGUCAAUGCAGAAGUUGGGGCCAGGAAAGCCUAGUCCGGAAUGUUGGGGGACUCCUAAGACGUGAAGCCAGGGGCUUUCUGCAAGCGUUCACUCCGGCCACACCCAAUUCCAGCCACCCCACGGCCUCCCGCGGGCCGGAGCUGGGGGCCGGGGGUGGGGGGGAGCUCGGACGGGGACGGAGCUGGAGGUCGGGGCCCCCGGCGGGUGCCGAGGUCUGCAGAGGGCCCUUCGGACACUCGGCCUCACCUCUGCCCGCGGGCCACCCUGGGCUGCCCCGCUCCGUCCCAGGGAGAACCGGGAGAGGAGCCCUGAGGUCCAUCCAGCUCCCGGCGCGAGCUUUCCGGGUCGGGGCCACGCGUCCCCGUCGGGGCG